AUUGAACGCUGGCGGCAGGCCUAACACAUGCAAGUCGAGCGGAUGAAGGGAGCUUGCUCCUGGAUUCAGCGGCGGACGGGUGAGUAAUGCCUAGGAAUCUGCCUGGUAGUGGGGGAUAACGUCCGGAAACGGGCGCUAAUACCGCAUACGUCCUGAGGGAGAAAGUGGGGGAUCUUCGGACCUCACGCUAUCAGAUGAGCCUAGGUCGGAUUAGCUAGUUGGUGGGGUAAAGGCCUACCAAGGCGACGAUCCGUAACUGGUCUGAGAGGAUGAUCAGUCACACUGGAACUGAGACACGGUCCAGACUCCUACGGGAGGCAGCAGUGGGGAAUAUUGGACAAUGGGCGAAAGCCUGAUCCAGCCAUGCCGCGUGUGUGAAGAAGGUCUUCGGAUUGUAAAGCACUUUAAGUUGGGAGGAAGGGCAGUAAGUUAAUACCUUGCUGUUUUGACGUUACCAACGGAAUAAGCACCGGCUAACUCCGUG
RNAcentral lists this ribosomal RNA (484 nucleotides) under uncultured bacterium. RNAcentral's name for it is "partial 16S ribosomal RNA". It matches the Rfam family "Bacterial small subunit ribosomal RNA", at positions 30 to 507 of the family's 1533-position model. The record is from RNAcentral.